AUCGCCCGGGCGCCAGGAUUUGUGUGCGAUGUGAAAGGAGGGGAGGGGGGCACAGUGGAAGCAGCUCUUCCCCAGCGUCGGAAACUACCUUCUCCUUGCCUUGCCACGCCGCCAAUAAAUUAGUACAGCUAAAUCCCGUACUCUGCGCUCGGGAAGCGGUUCUUUACAGGGGAAAGAACAGCUGUUGAUUGGUUGGAAUGACUGGAAGUGCGCGUGUGCUGGCGGGGCGGGGGCUGUGAUUGGCAAUGGAGCACGGGCUGAGCCCUCCCGCGCGCUCGUGCACAUGGCGGUUGAGGCCACGCCCAGGGUUUGGGAGUGGGGAUGGGGAGCUCGGGCUGGUUCUAGAAGGUUCCGCAGGGAAGCGGCCGGCCGCAGCCGCCUUACGGGCGGGGAUUGUUUCCAGAUGGCAAGCAACUGCACAUCAAAAGUACUUGAUUUAUGGGGAAAGCACUUUUUAAGAACAUGCUGACGUUGAGAAAUACUGAAUAAACACAACUUCCAGUGGACAGCACACUUUCGGAUAAUGCAGCUAAAGCACUGCAGGUGAUGCUUUCUGAUCUACAAUUGCAGUCUGCAAUGUACCUGUUAUCUCAUCUGGACCAAGCUCUCCCAAACACACUUAAUAUUGUUGGUGCUUCACACUUGCUGAAUUUAUUGGGAACUACACUCCAGCACCUUUCUGUUCCAUUAUCCAAUCACUAAGAACUGUAGACUGAAUGAUCCUUUAAGUUCUGAGGAACAGCUGGGCUCUUACAAGGCUUCCUUCUUUUCAAAGUUCAAACUCGUCUCAUCAAAAGCAUCCAUUUCUCCUCUCUUGUGAAAAAACAUCCAACUGACUGCAAAGGCAGUUGCCUCAGUCUUAUCUGCCUAAUAACUUAUUUUGUAAGGUUGUCACUUUGGGUAGAAAAAGAUUCCACUUGAAUACACUUCUUAUCUCUCACUUGUCAAAUUUUAAUCUAAAUGGUCCUAUAACCUUACACAAUCCUAAGUUCUGUCUAUAAUCCUGUAACCCUCAUAAUUUAGUCCUACUUUUCUAUAGUAUGUAACUUGUUGAAUAAUAGCAGUGUUCUGUUUCUCUCCAGUAGUGACAUUCUGCUUGAUGGAUAAAGCUGAAUCAAAUUAAAUGAAUUCCCAUGCACGUUCGACUUAAUCAUUAUGAACUGCAUAACAUUGACUUCAAAAAUCACAAUUCACUACCAAAAUAAAGUUCAUUUGGAACUUGGGGGUUUUCACUGAUCUCCGUCCAAUUCACCCAGACUGACGUGGAGCCCACUAGCAGCAUUACACAAUGGGGCCAGAAGAGAUCUCACCAGAGACAAAUAGAGAUGACAGCAAAUGUGAGGUCAGAUUGCCUCCAGUUGUGGGUUCUACAUUCACGAGAAAGACUGGACCAAAAAUUCAAGGCUAGUGCUUCAGUGCGUUUCAGACGAGAUGUAAAUCAUGAAUGACUCUCUCCAUUUGCUCCCUCAAUUGGAAGUGAAAGAUUCAUGACACUGUUUUGAAGAUAAAUGGUGGAGAAAUUGUGUCUGAUGUUCUGGUCAAUAUUUGUUCCUGAACCAACAUCACUAAAACACAAGCUCAUCAUAACGGCUAUUAGUGGCAGCUUGCUGUGCACAAACUAGCAUCUCCAUUCUCUACAUUGUUGCACUUCAAAUACUUAAUUGACUGUGAAGCACUUUGGAUAUCCUGAUGUUGUGCAUGGCAGUGUGAAAAUGUAAGUCCAUCUAUCUUUCUUCAUUGUGCUUUUUUUUCUACAUUGUGCUAUAUAAAAUGUAUUUUUAGAAUCCAUUUGCAGUUACUUACACUUCAGAAUCAUGAAUGCCAUCUGUCAUUCAACUGCUUAAAUUGCUAAGUAUCUGUAGGCCUCAUGAAUGCAUUCCUUUCCUCACAACAUCCUGUUUUCCUAUGCAGUUUGGCACCAUCCACCAGCAUAUGUCCUUCUUGUUUCAUAGAAUGGCUUUAAGAAGUGGUUUUAUAAUACCCUAGGGCAUGUGGUUGCUGUGGUAUUCAGCUCAUUCUAUAUCAUUGCAACAGCAAAUAAACCAUACCUAUGUGAAAGUCA
Rhincodon typus (whale shark) is the source of this 2062-nucleotide long non-coding RNA. RefSeq lists it as uncharacterized. The transcript is spliced from 3 exons. Lineage: Eukaryota; Metazoa; Chordata; Chondrichthyes; Orectolobiformes; Rhincodontidae. The record is from RefSeq and is a predicted model, not a curated record.